This 1143-nucleotide ribosomal RNA is filed under the name uncultured bacterium. RNAcentral's name for it is "bacterial SSU rRNA". It matches the Rfam family "Bacterial small subunit ribosomal RNA", at positions 201 to 1352 of the family's 1533-position model. The record is from RNAcentral.
GGAAAGUUUUUUCGGUUGGGGAUGGGCUCGCGGCCUAUCAGUUUGUUGGUGAGGUAAUGGCUCACCAAGACGACGACGGGUAGCCGGCCUGAGAGGGCGACCGGCCACACUGGGACUGAGACACGGCCCAGACUCCUACGGGAGGCAGCAGUGGGGAAUAUUGCACAAUGGGGGAAACCCUGAUGCAGCGACGCAGCGUGCGGGAUGACGGCCUUCGGGUUGUAAACCGCUUUCAGCAGGGAAGAAGCCCUUCGGGGUGACGGUACCUGCAGAAGAAGUACCGGCUAACUACGUGCCAGCAGCCGCGGUAAUACGUAGGGUACAAGCGUUGUCCGGAAUUAUUGGGCGUAAAGAGCUCGUAGGUGGUUGGUCACGUCUGCUGUGGAAACGCAACGCUUAACGUUGCGCGCGCAGUGGGUACGGGCUGACUAGAGUGCAGUAGGGGAGUCUGGAAUUCCUGGUGUAGCGGUGAAAUGCGCAGAUAUCAGGAGGAACACCGGUGGCGAAGGCGGGACUCUGGGCUGUAACUGACACUGAGGAGCGAAAGCAUGGGGAGCGAACAGGAUUAGAUACCCUGGUAGUCCAUGCCGUAAACGUUGGGCACUAGGUGUGGGGGACAUUCCACGUUCUCCGCGCCGUAGCUAACGCAUUAAGUGCCCCGCCUGGGGAGUACGGUCGCAAGGCUAAAACUCAAAGGAAUUGACGGGGGCCCGCACAAGCGGCGGAGCAUGCGGAUUAAUUCGAUGCAACGCGAAGAACCUUACCAAGGCUUGACAUACACCAGACCGUUCUGGAAACAGUUCCUCCCCUUUGGGGUUGGUGUACAGGUGGUGCAUGGUUGUCGUCAGCUCGUGUCGUGAGAUGUUGGGUUAAGUCCCGCAACGAGCGCAACCCUCGUUCUAUGUUGCCAGCACGUAAUGGUGGGAACUCAUAGGAGACUGCCGGGGUCAACUCGGAGGAAGGUGGGGAUGACGUCAAAUCAUCAUGCCCUUUAUGUCUUGGGCUUCACGCAUGCUACAAUGGCUGGUACAGAGAGAUGCGAGACCGCGAGGUUUUAGCGAAUCCCUUAAAGCCAGUCUCAGUUCGGAUCGUAGUCUGCAAUUCGACUACGUGAAGUCGGAGUCGCUAGUAAUCGCAGAUCAG